AAUGAACGCUGGCGGCGUGUCUUAAGCAUGCAAGUCGUGCGGCAAGGGUAGCAAUACCCCUAGAGCGGCGGACUGGUGAGUAACGCGUGGGUGAUCUGCCCUUGGGUUGGGGAUAGCCAUUAGAAAUAGUGGGUAAUACCGAAUACGAUGGCGAUACUGUGGUCUUGUCAUGAAAGGCGCUUCGGCGCCACGCGAGGAUGAGCCCGCGUCCCAUUGGCUAGUUGGUGAGGUAACGGCCCACCAAGGCGAUGAUGGGUAGGCGGCCUGAGAGGGUGUACGCCCACACUGGGACUGAGAUACGGCCCAGAAUCCUACGGGAUGCAGCAGCUAAGAAUAUUCCGCAAUGGACGAAAGUCUGACGGAGCGAGGCCGCGUGGAUGACGAAGGCCGAAAGGUUGUAAAAUCCUUUUGUUGGGGAAGAAUAAGGCUGGGAGGGAAUGCCCGGCUGAUGACAUGAACCGACGAAUAAGUCCCGGCUAACUACGUGCCAGCCGCCGCCGUAA
RNAcentral lists this ribosomal RNA (503 nucleotides) under uncultured bacterium. Its description in RNAcentral is "partial 16S ribosomal RNA". It matches the Rfam family "Bacterial small subunit ribosomal RNA", at positions 29 to 523 of the family's 1533-position model. The record is from RNAcentral.